AACGUAGGACGCAAGCGUUAUCCGGAAUUACUGGGCGUAAAGCGCGUGUAGGUGGUUUUAUAAGUCACUGUUGAAAGCUCCCGGCUAAACUGGGAGAGGUGCGGUGAGACUGUAGAGCUAGAGUUUGGGAGAGGGGUGCGGAAUUCCGGGUGUAGCGGUGGAAUGCGUAGAGAUCCGGAAGAACACCGGUGGCGAAGGCGGCCCGCUGGGCAGGAAGGCUCGCAAGAGCCGGCUGACGCUGAGGCACGACAGCGUGGGGAGCAAACAGG
RNAcentral lists this ribosomal RNA (269 nucleotides) under uncultured bacterium. Its description in RNAcentral is "partial 16S ribosomal RNA". It matches the Rfam family "Bacterial small subunit ribosomal RNA", at positions 524 to 776 of the family's 1533-position model. The record is from RNAcentral.